ACUCCUACGGGAGGCAGCAGUGGGGAAUAUUGCACAAUGGGCGCAAGCCUGAUGCAGCCAUGCCGCGUGUAUGAAGAAGGCCUUCGGGUUGUAAAGUACUUUCAGCGGGGAGGAAGGCGAUAAGGUUAAUAACCUUGUUGAUUGACGUUACCCGCAGAAGAAGCACCGGCUAACUCCGUGCCAGCAGCCGCGGUAAUACGGAGGGUGCAAGCGUUAAUCGGAAUUACUGGGCGUAAAGCGCACGCAGGCGGUCUGUCAAGUCGGAUGUGAAAUCCCCGGGCUCAACCUGGGAACUGCAUUCGAAACUGGCAGGCUAGAGUCUUGUAGAGGGGGGUAGAAUUCCAGGUGUAGCGGUGAAAUGCGUAGAGAUCUGGAGGAAUACCGGUGGCGAAGGCGGCCCCCUGGACAAAGACUGACGCUCAGGUGCGAAAGCGUGGGGAGCAAACAGGAUUAGAAACCCCAGUAGUCCC
Molecule: ribosomal RNA, 470 nt
Filed under: uncultured organism
Description: partial 16S ribosomal RNA
Rfam family: Bacterial small subunit ribosomal RNA
Source: RNAcentral